UGAAAUGUUUGAAAAAUCUUGAGAGUUGGUACACUUUACCAUUUUUGUCGAACGUUCAACAAGUGUCAACUCAACUGAAAUAUUUGAAUUAGAAUGUAUAAUUUAUAUCUGUUAUAUGAUAUCGAUUUACAUAAAAUAGUAGCUGGAUAUUGUAAGAAUAAUUUGCCAGUUCCAGCAAUGUGGAAGUUUAGUGAAAGUAAUAAAUACCGUCGGGAAAUUGAUGUAACAGUCUUGCUCUAAACUUCGAUCUAUCUCGUCAUUCUAUUACGAACCGUAACGCCUUAAACUACGACGGAUUGCUCUUUUUAAUAAGUGAAAGGUGUUUCAUAGUGGUCGACAUCUCAAUAUUAACUAGAAUGCUGUUUUUGGCUGAAAUGAAUUGUAUAUUCAAAAGAGUUACGAAAUCUCUUCUUUUCUAGUCAACCGAACAAGCAAUUUCCAUGAUGGGAAAGUCACGAUGGUGGUCACAUCCUUAGCAUGAAACUGUUCGAACGAAUAGAGAGUUGAAGAUGCAUCUGAGGUCGAAAAAAAUUAUGUUGGGUCGAAAGUGAAACUAUCAUUUCAACGUGGAAAUAUGAUCGAACGAUAAAAAAAAACAAUUUAAAUAAUGAAUUUCAUAAGAAACUCGUUAAAGAUUUUCGAGAUAUUUAUUUAAAAUUUAAAUUAUUAUUAUAUUUAUACAUGGAAUUUUUCAUAUUUAAGAGUGAAUUUCCGGCAUGUUUAUAAAUACAGUAAAAAACUGUGGCUGCAUCGUCCAGUGUCUCGAUGCGUCUUCGAGACGAUUCCAAUUCGAAAGUGAAACCUUACUCUGUAAUCAAUGAUGCGUCCAAUGUGCAGGUGAAAUUUUGAUAUUUAAUUGUAUGUUCAAUUGAAUGUCACGGAUGUGUUUAUCGAUCGGAUAAUAUAUAAAUCUAUGAAUCUUGUUUGAAAUUAGGAAUAAAAUUUUUUUCCUAUAAUGCAAGAUGAUAUGAUUUAUAAAAUUCGAGAAACCAUGAAAUUUUAAUCACUUUAUCAUUUUAAUCUCGAAAAUAUCCAAAUUAAAUUUGAAUAAUCAAAUUCCAAAACAUAAAGUUUGUAAAAUAUGUGAAUUUAGAAAUUGCCUCAAGCAUGUAGUAGAAUUAUCAUAUCGAUUUAUCAAAAAUCACCAAUAAAUUGUAACGUGCUCGAAUAUUUAAACUCCUUUAAACGUUUAAUAUAUUUGAACAUCCGAGAAUAUUCCAAAGUUCCAAAGUUUCUUUGUUUCUUACGCAAUCCAGGAAAUCCAAGAUAUUCGCGAGUUGUGUGUACUUCACUCGUACUCGAUUUACACGAAGUCGCGUAAGAUUACGAUCGAUGAUAAGAGGGGAAAGAAAAAAAAAAAAAAAAAAAA
This 1369-nucleotide long non-coding RNA is filed under the name Apis mellifera (honey bee). RNAcentral describes it as "uncharacterized LOC100576599, transcript variant X3". The record is from RNAcentral. Lineage: Eukaryota; Metazoa; Arthropoda; Insecta; Hymenoptera; Apidae.